GUCUUUUUGAAUUAAAUUUAAAGUCUAACCUGCCCACUGAAAAAUUUUAAAUGGCCGCAGUAUUCUAACUGUGCAAAGGUAGCAUAAUCAUUAGUCUUUUAAUUGAAGGCUGGAAUGAAUGGUUGGACGAAAUAUUAACUGUUUCAUUUAAAUUUUUAUAGAAUUUUAUUUUUUAGUCAAAAAGCUAAAAUAAAUUUAAAAGACGAGAAGACCCUAUAAAUCUUUAUAUUUUAUUUAUUUUAAUUGUAAAGAUUAUUUUUAUUAUAAUAAAUUAAAAUAUUUUAUUGGGGUGAUAUUAAAAUUUAAAAAACUUUUAAUUUUUAAAACCAUUAAUUUAUGAAUAAUUGAUCCGUUAAUAACGAUUAAAAAUUUAAGUUACUUUAGGGAUAACAGCGUAAUUUUUUUGGAGAGUUCAUAUCGAUAAAAAAGAUUGCGACCUCGAUGUUGGAUUAAGAUAUAAUUUUGGGUGUAGCCGUUCAAAUUUUAAGUCUGUUCGACUUUUAAAUUCUU
Molecule: ribosomal RNA, 510 nt
Filed under: Drosophila nanella
Lineage: Eukaryota; Metazoa; Arthropoda; Insecta; Diptera; Drosophilidae
Description: partial 16S ribosomal RNA
Rfam family: Bacterial large subunit ribosomal RNA
Source: RNAcentral